RNAcentral lists this unclassified non-coding RNA (382 nucleotides) under uncultured bacterium. RNAcentral's name for it is "contains 16S-23S intergenic spacer region". The record is from RNAcentral.
UCCGGUUUGGCACCGGCAGUCUCCCUAGAGUUCCCGGCAUUACCCGCUGGCAACUAAGGACAGGGGUUGCGCUCGUUGCGCCACUUAAGGCAACACCUCACGGCACGCGCUGACGACAGCCAUGCACCACCUGCGCAGAAGUCCCUUGCGGGAGGUGCUCACUUUCGUGAGCAUUUCCUCUGCAUGUCAAACCCAGGUAAGGUUCUUCGCGUUGCCUCGAAUUAAACCACAUGCUCCGCUGCUUGUGCGGGUCCCCGUCAAUUCCUUUGAGUUUUAGCCUUGCGGCCGUACUCCCCAGGCGGGGCACUUAAUGCGUUAACUUCGGCACGGAGGGAGUCGACACCCCCCACACCUAGUGCCCAUCGUUUACGGCGUGGACUAC